CGAACGGAAGUCGUUGUAAUGAUGUUGACAUGAACAGAGAACUUGUUCAAAGGGAGUGAAGAUUGACUUACAACAAUGGCUUUAGUGGCGGACUGGUGAGUAACACGUAAGCAACCUGCCUAUCAGAGGGGAACAACAGUUAGAAAAGAAUGCUAAUACCGCAUAACGUAUUCGGAUGGCAUCUUCUGAAUACCAAAGGAGCAAUCCGCUGAAAGAUGAGCUCGCGUCUGAUUAGAUAGUUGGUGGGGUAACGGCCUACCAAGUCGACGAUCAGUAGCCGGACUGAGAGGUUGAACGGCCACAUUGGGACUGAGACACGGCCCAGACUCCUACGGGAGGCAGCAGUGGGGAAUAUUGCACAAUGGGCGAAAGCCUGAUGCAGCAACGCCGCGUGAGGGAAGACGGUCUUCGGAUUGUAAACCUCUGUCCUUGGUGAAGAAUAAAUGACGGUAGCCUUGGAGGAAGCCACGGCUAACUACGUG
RNAcentral lists this ribosomal RNA (482 nucleotides) under uncultured bacterium. RNAcentral describes it as "bacterial SSU rRNA". It matches the Rfam family "Bacterial small subunit ribosomal RNA", at positions 63 to 507 of the family's 1533-position model. The record is from RNAcentral.